Molecule: ribosomal RNA, 86 nt
Filed under: Citrobacter sp. Cf042
Lineage: Bacteria; Pseudomonadati; Pseudomonadota; Gammaproteobacteria; Enterobacterales; Enterobacteriaceae
Also listed under: 1 other name
Source: RNAcentral
CCUGGUGGCUGUAGCGCGGUGGUCCCACCUGACCCCAUGCCGAACUCAGAAGUGAAACGCCGUAGCGCCGAUGGUAGUGUGGGGUC